GAUGAACGCUGGCGGCGUGCCUAAUACAUGCCAGUCGAGCGAACAGACGAGGAGCUUGCUCCUCUGACGUUAGCGGCGGACGGGUGAGUAGCACGUGGAUAACCUACCUAUAAGACUGGGAUAACUUCGGGAAACCGGAGCUACUACCGGAUAAUAUAUUGAACCGCAUGGUUCAAUAGUGAAAGACGGUUUUGCUGUCACUUAUAGAUGGAUCCGCGCCGCAUUAGCUAGUUGGUAAGGUAACGGCUUACCAAGGCGACGAUGCGUAGCCGACCUGAGAGGGUGAUCGGCCACACUGGAACUGAGACACGGUCCAGACUCCUACGGGAGGCAGCAGUAGGGAAUCUUCCGCAAUGGGCGAAAGCCUGACGGAGCAACGCCGCGUGAGUGAUGAAGGUCUUCGGAUCGUAAAACUCUGUUAUUAGGGAAGAACAAAUGUGUAAGUAACUAUGCACGUCUUGACGGUACCUAAUCAGAAAGCCACGGCUAACUACGUG
RNAcentral lists this ribosomal RNA (497 nucleotides) under uncultured bacterium. RNAcentral describes it as "partial 16S ribosomal RNA". It matches the Rfam family "Bacterial small subunit ribosomal RNA", at positions 28 to 507 of the family's 1533-position model. The record is from RNAcentral.